RNAcentral lists this ribosomal RNA (253 nucleotides) under uncultured bacterium. RNAcentral's name for it is "partial 16S ribosomal RNA". It matches the Rfam family "Bacterial small subunit ribosomal RNA", at positions 524 to 776 of the family's 1533-position model. The record is from RNAcentral.
UACGGAGGGGACUAGCGUUGUUCGGAGUUACUGGGCGUAAAGCGUGCGUAGGCGGUGUCUUAAGUUUGUUGUGAAAUCUCCCGGCUUAACCGGGAGGGUGCGGCGAAUACUGAGAUGCUGGAGUGCCGGAGAGGUAAGCGGAAUUCCUGGUGUAGCGGUGAAAUGCGUAGAUAUCAGGAGGAACACCUGCGGUGUAGACGGCUUACUGGACGGUAACUGACGCUGAGGCACGAAAGCGUGGGUAGCAAACAGG